GAUCAUGGCUCAGGACGAACGCUGGCGGCGCGCCUAACACAUGCAAGUCGAACGAGCGAGAGAGAGCUUGCUUUCUCGAGCGAGUGGCGAACGGGUGAGUAACGCGUGAGGAACCUGCCUCAAAGAGGGGGACAACAGUUGGAAACGACUGCUAAUACCGCAUAAGCCCACGACCCGGCAUCGGGAAGAGGGAAAAGGAGCAAUCCGCUUUGAGAUGGCCUCGCGUCCGAUUAGCCAG
RNAcentral lists this ribosomal RNA (238 nucleotides) under uncultured bacterium. Its description in RNAcentral is "partial 16S ribosomal RNA". It matches the Rfam family "Bacterial small subunit ribosomal RNA", at positions 15 to 248 of the family's 1533-position model. The record is from RNAcentral.